GUUGCUUCUGUGGAAUUAACUUCAGCUCUCAGGCUCUCAACAGCCUUCCGCAGCUUACCACAAACAACAGUAACAGGAUCUUGGAUUCUCUUUAACUCGUCAUCAGGAUCUGGCUCAUCAAUUUUCAUACUGGAUAUUUCCUGUGAGGUCACCAAAUCACUGUCAGGAUCAGGCUCGGUUCUCUUAGCUUGAGAUUCAUCAGGAUCAGGUUCUGUCAUUUCAGUCGACAGAGGGUUGUUCUGAUAUGGUUCAUGGAUGUUCACAUCUCGUGAACUGCUCUGUUUUGCUUCCAAGUCAUCUGGAUCAGGUUCAUCAAUAAUCAUGCUUUCAGCAGUUUUCUUUCUGGAUAUUUCCUGUGAGGCCACUAAAUCAUCAUCAGGAUCAGGCUCUGUCCGCAAAGUUAUGUUUGCUGGAGAUUCAUCAGGAUCAGGUUCUCUGUAAUCCUUAUCCAGUGAAGUAUAUUCCAUGCUUUCAGACACUAGAGAAAUGUUCUGAUCUGGUCCCUGGGUGUUUCUUUCUCCUGAAUUGCUCUGUUUUGUUUUUGAGUCAUCUGGAUCUGGUUCAUCAAUGGUUUUGCUAAGCUGAAUCCCACCGUUCAAAGUCUUCAUCAGCUGAGGGUGAUUACUCUGAGAAUCAUCAGGAUCAGGUUCAUACUUAAUUUGUUCAGAAGAAUGUUCAUCAGAAUCUGGCUCAUAAUCAAGUUUCAACUGAACCUUGUGCGGAGUUUCAAUGUCUAUAUUUUCUUCUCUUGCAAGACCAUUGUUCUGAUAUGGUCCCUGGAUGUUUCUGUAUCCUGAAUUGCGCUGUUUUGUUUCUGAGUCAUCUGGAUCUGGUUCAUCAAUGAUCUUGCUUAGCUGAAUCCCACUUCUCAAAGUCUCCAUCAGCAGAGGGUGAUUACUCUGGGAAUCAUCAGGAUAAGGUUCAUACAUACUUUGAUCACCAGAAUGUUCAUCAGGAUCUGGCUCAUAAUCAGGUUCCAAAUGAACCUUGUGUGGGUUUUCGAUGUCCAUAUUUUCUUCUCUCCCAUGAUCUAUGAUAUCAGAUCUAUCAUUAAUGCUGAAACUGGAAUCAUCAGGGUCAGGUUCUUUAUAUUUGCCAUAAUCUUCCAAACUGUUA
RNAcentral lists this long non-coding RNA (1116 nucleotides) under Manihot esculenta (cassava). RNAcentral describes it as "long non-coding RNA (MESC_LNC007007)". Lineage: Eukaryota; Viridiplantae; Streptophyta; Magnoliopsida; Malpighiales; Euphorbiaceae. The record is from RNAcentral.